Long non-coding RNA from Leptopilina heterotoma, 1111 nucleotides. RefSeq lists it as uncharacterized. The transcript is spliced from 3 exons. NCBI's taxonomy places the organism in Eukaryota, Metazoa, Arthropoda, Insecta, Hymenoptera, Figitidae. The record is from RefSeq and is a predicted model, not a curated record.
AAAUGAAACACUCUAUAGAAAAGAAAGUCUUCAUAAUAAUUAUUUUUUAGAAAGAGAAAUUUUUGAAAUGAUUAAUUCAAACAAAAAAAAUAUUGCCAAAAAAGCUAAUCUUCAAGUUACUAAUAAUAAUUUAACAUUAAUGAAUUAUCCAACAACAUUGGCAACAGCUGAUGUAGUAGAAAAUGCGAACUAUGUUGAAUAUAAAUUAGCAAAAAAAAAUUAUAAGUCCUGGAAUGAACUACUGUGGAGCUUCAAAUCUAUUGGUUAAAAAAGAAAAAUAUAUUUUCAAAACCUAAUUGGCGCAGUUAACCACAAGAAAGAAUGUGUUUCAUCUGUGCAGCAAUAUAAUUUUCUUGAAGAAAAUGGUGAUAUACAAAUUAAAUUAGAUAUGAAACUCGCUAACACUUUCAUUGGAAAAAAUGUAAAGUCUCAUGAUGAAAUACGGAAACCUUGCAUUAUUAGUACUGUAGUUUUAAAAGAACCACUCAUUAAGAAAAAGAAACUUGAAUUGUAUUAGGAUAAUUCUAUAGAUGGCAUUAAUUCUAAUGACGGAGAAAAGGAAAAUAUAAAUACUUUGAAGAAAAUGUGUACAAUUAAAGACAGGGAUGAUUGUCAGCCUGAUAACAUCGAAUGUAUUGAAAGAGAAACUGUUGUGAGGAGAAAAGAGACAGAUGGUAUAAACUUAACGAAAACACCAUCAAGCAGGAAAAUGACAUCUUCAAUAAGUUCUAAUUUCAAAAAUCAAGUUUUCAGUAAUUACGAAAAUCAUCGCCAAAAAACUUACGAAAGAAACGAAUACCAUCCACCUGUUAAUAACUUCGCGAAAAAAAAGAGACAGUGUUGGGAGGAAAGAGAUCAAGCGUUUCAAGAAGCAAUUAAGGAUUUUAAAGAGUGUACUAAUGUAAUAACUUUCUUUUAUGCGAACCAAAGCAAUUUGACUAAUUUGAACUAUACUAACAACAACGAAAGCAACGUUAACAUGAAUAUCAUCCAAGAUGUUAUUAAUAAAGAACUGAAAACGUCAUGAAAUAUGGAUGGAUAUGAGAAGGAGUUAAUUACCACUUUCAGACAAGUAAGUUUUAAAAACAAACGAUUUGUUUUUAGUUCAAUA